Long non-coding RNA from Gasterosteus aculeatus aculeatus (three-spined stickleback), 7267 nucleotides. Lineage: Eukaryota; Metazoa; Chordata; Actinopteri; Perciformes; Gasterosteidae. The record is from Ensembl.
CUCACCUGUUGCCGCGCGUUGUGUCACCGGAGGAGACGCGCAGCUUCCGCUCCCUCGAAUACAUGUUUCAUAAAACAGUUAAACUCGAGAGCAAACGCCUCAGACACCUUUGAAGGACCGUUAUGAAGACGGAAUAACCGCGUCUGCGCGCCGCCGGCUCCCGUAUUUUCCCUCCGCCCGUUGGUCGUUAGCAUGAGCUAGCUAGUAGCAUCGCUGCUACCGGACACCAUGUUGAAGCGGACACCUGGAGCUCAACUGCGUCACUUCAUCAAGAUAAGUACUUUUUUUUGUGGGUGUCCAUUUAUUAUUUUAAUGGAGCCCGGCCAAAUUAAGUUAAUUUGAGAUGAUCAAGUAUUUAACGUUAUAUAAUUGUAGAUCAAUUUGUUACUUUCGGAGUGAUGUGGAGAAGCUGCAUACAGUAGUUCUAUACACCUGUCAAUCAAAGUAAGCCCCGCCCUAAAGCAUCCACCGCGUCAUGGUCUGUUUGAGCGAAGUAGUCAUUUUCUCAUAGACUCUCAUGGGACAAAAGGAGUCGCCCCCUGCUGGUCGCUACAGAGAAUGCAAGUUGAGAUACAAAGGCUUCUCUCCGGAAGCUCUGUUAUGUUCUUCAUUCUCUACACAUCUAUUUCACUUCUGUCCAUCCUCGUAGAGCGAUCCCUCCUCCGUUCUCCUAAAGGUUUCUUCUUUUUUGUGUCUCCCUGUUCUUGUUUUCUUGUAGAGCUCCUCUUAAAACAGGCCGUCACGGCGGAGCAGGGGAUAAACACACAGUUGAAUCUACACAGAUGUUUUCCACUGUGGUCCUUUCUGUCGGGAGGAUGUUGACUGUUGUUUGGAUCGGGCCGUUCCGUCAGUGUUAUUUUUAGAUAAAUUGUGCGUCCAUUGCUGGCUUUUGUUUCUUGUAUUACGGUAUGAGUUGCACCUGCAUUGAUGCAUAAGGUGGAAAUAUUUUGUAAAAUGUAGUUUUAGCACCUAAAAUUCCUCCUCUGUACGAGGAGAUCACUGAACUUCUGGCUGAAAAUCUACACUUGUCCUUCUGUUUCCGGUCAGGUCACACUGAGAAUAUGCUAACCAUGCACUAUGAUCUCCAGAAAUACCCCAAAAUGUUUGGAGAAACAUUACUUUUUUAAUACACCUCAUUUACAAUUCCUUCUUAUAUUGAAUAGGAACUGAAAAGUAGUUUCCCACCAAAACGGUGCUUCAUGAAACCCAUUUCCAUUCCUCAUUAAACAUUUACAAGCCAUUUUACAUCUCAGCGUCCGUCUGUUUGUUUAGUGCACACAGGGUAUCCUCAACAAUACUUUCAGUCUUCGCUUGCCAGAAUUAGUUGUUUCCCCUGAUAAACUGCUCAGUUUUAUGAUCUUCUUAGUGAUUCAGGUCAAGCAGGCAACGCUCUACUCGGUCAUACUAACAGCUGAGGUCUGAUGAUGUCACCGUGUUGAAUACACGAUGCGAGCGGCUCGUCUCACUCCUCAGAUAUGUGGCUGUUUGAAAGAUUGUGGCUGGAGACUGACGUUAAAGUUAAUGAGGCGCAUUCAUUUAAAGUGAGGUGCUGUGCAGGAAGGAGCGCAGUCGAGCUAUUUUAGGGGAGGAUGGUGGAUGACGUGUUGAGUUUUCGUCUGCCUUUUUAUAUUCAUGGUGCCCACGGGAUGAAUCCGAAUACUCUUUGUCAUCACAUUUUAUCCAGAGGCGGCAGCAGGGGGGGACGUUUGCCAAUUUUCUGUUGCAAUGGAACGUACCUUUAAAGCUGCAUCCUCUCUGCUGCCAACCGCUGUAUGCUAACACGGGGAAACUACGACGCUGAACAUUAAAGCUGAAACGCACCAGCAUGUCAGCAUGCCUCUUGUUAGCACAUCAGCAUGCCUCUUGUUAGCACGUUAGCAUGCCUCUUGGUAGCACGCCUCUUGUUAGCACGUUAGCAUGCCUCUUGGUAGCAUGGUUGUAGACGCUUCAGUCUUGUUUUUUCUCACAAUUGCAUGCACUUUUGAAAUAAGACUCCACUGCCCUUGUUGACAGUAUUAACUGUCCUCUGUAUUCUAAACAUUUACUUGUGCUGUCAUGGCUGAUGUAUCCCCCCCCUUUCGAGAUCGAGAUGUAUCUUCAUAGCGGCGAUGGUGAUGGCAUGCCUGGUCUCGACGGUUUGUUGGCGGUUAGUCAAAGCGGAUUAGAAGGAACACCUGCAGUUCCUCUGUUUAUUUAGUCGUCAUACUUUCGAACGUCCUACUCCAAGACCUCGUCUUUAAAUCACGGGACAGCCUGUAGCUGCCAGGAAGCCCUGAGAAACCGCCUCGCAGUCGGGUUACUGCAGACCCCACUGCACAUCUACGUGUCUGUGGAGGCCCAGCAACUACAGCAGCUGAGUCAACAAACACAAAACCAAGUCAAAUGGUGAUAUGUUGGGAGUUCACAGUGUAACCGUUCCGCCUGGAUUUUCCAUUUCCGUCUUCUGGAUGAGCUUCAGGUGGGGGAUCCGCGGCUGGUGUUUAGUGGCAUGAAUCCAGGCAAAGAAAAAACGCCCGGGCUGCUAUUUGCGUAUGUGUGAAAAUGAGGGAUCAUUCGCGUGAGAGUCAAGCCACGAACAACAGCGUCCCACACUACCAAAGUGUGGGUGGCUUCAUCCUCGGCAGGUGCCAAGAACGCGCUCAGGGACGCGCUCGCUUUGGGUUUUUCAAACACGGGGAUGCAGGCCGGGUUUAAUCCCUUUAAACGGACUUGCUUUAUGUUCUGUUGGGGGCCGAUUGACCCUCAGUGGCGGAGUCGAUGCACAUGGACACUCUUCUCAAAGGUUAGAAGGCCACAUUAAUCCAAUUAUGCUUUAACUUUCAAUACUUGAAGGAAUUAUAUUUUGACGAGUGGGCUGCUUAUAAUACAAUCACAGAUCAUCAAGAGCGCUCUGAUGACGGUUUAUAUAUAUAUGUGUGUUUGUAUCACGUUCUAGCUUAUUGCCCCACAUCGGCCGACUGAACACUGGUUAGCAUUGAAAUGAGGUCACUCCCCGGGGUCUUGUCAAUACGUAAUUAAAAAGGCAGGACACAGUCACGCCUCUGUGGAGCUCUGCACCUCGUGAACCUCUGUGUGGCCCGACAGGAGGCCUCUGUAGGAGAGGUAAUCUUGUCUGAAGACUCCACACAUGGGUCCCUUCACCAGUCCAAGAUGUUCAGAUAAUCUUUCUUUAGACCAUCAAAUCUAAAAAGUAAAAAGUAUAAAAGCUUUAGAUCGCAUUUGUAUUGUGCCACUUUUUUCUAAAUGAAAACUGAGAUGUUGUAAUAUUAUUAAUCAAAGUAAAUAUUAGUAGAGACCCAAAUGCCAAGUAAAUGCUGUUGGUCAUCACAGCUAAAUUACCAGUGUGGUUUAAUUUAGGCUCGGCUAAGCCCCGCCCCCAUCUGCUACUCAUUUGCUUAAAAAGUCAAAUCCUUUUUGUUUUCCAGAACUAGCAGCUAUAUCAAAUAAACCAAACUCCAUUUGGGAAAACCCCCCUUCUUUUAAAGGUGUUGCAAAACAUACGGAAAAAACUCAGCUGAUGAUUAUUUUGAACUGUUUAAGAGGAACAACCUGCGAAUAGAUCAUGACCUUCACAUCAGCAGUUCUUUUAAAGCUCACGGGGAGUUUAUUUUAUUGUAACUCACAUGUUACUUAAUCAGUCACAUUAUCUCUCAGUAGCCGUCUGCCUCUGGAGCAAGAAAAGCUUCUCGGAUCGGGUUUGUUUUAUUUGUGUCCUUGGAUAUGGCUUAUAGCUGAUCUAUAAAACACCAGGAGUAACUGUGGUAAUCCAUCAGAAUUGGCUCACUGUCGUCCUGCAGCGAUGAUGUAAUCUCAUCAACCUUCCUUAAAAGUCUGCUGACCCGUCUGUCUUCGUCUACUCUGUUGUCUCUGUCCGGUCCCACGUUAUAAAUCACAGGCGUUUGAUUUCAGUGCCAAAGUACACGUCUGCAAUGCGAUGCCAAUGAAUUGUGCACGUGGGAUUAGAAUAAACUGACGGCCAUCGCAAACGGCUCCGCGUCAUCUGGUACAGUUCGUUAAUCUCUUCCAAAGCGUGCAGAUUUAUUGUUGUAAGAGUAAGAACUCCUGUCAGCACUGGUACGGAUUGUCUUAUUGUAAAUGUGGGUCACGAUUUCAAAUUAGCGUUUUUCCUUUUGUCCAAUUUACAAUCAAAUGACUUUAAUUUACGAAGGUGCUAAGCAGAGAAAAGCGUUUGUCAGCUCUUUGUCUGAGCCUCGAUAAACAUCUGCAAUUAGUGCUGAUUAGCAGAUGACUCUGAUCGUUCUAGGCCUCCGUGGUAUUCGCUGCGGUGAUGGAGGAGUCAUUGACGUCUGUAGUGGGCGUUGUGACUCAUGCACAGGGAAAAGCAGUUAAAUCUCUCCCCUUUUGGGAGAUUGAGUCUACUGCGGGUACUCCUGAGGUAACACUUUACACCCUCACAGAGGAACCGGUGACACAAGAUUUACUCCAAAUGACCCCCGAGGUGGAGUAACACGCAUCAUUGCACAGGAGAGGAGGAUUCUCACUGUGGGUCCCGGUAGUUUCAUAACUGGCAAACAAGCCGAGGAUCUCAGACGCUGUGUUGUUGUUGUUGUUUUUGACUCUUCGAACCAGAAACACAAAUCUGAGGGGCCAAAGGUCGACUUUCCAAGAAUUCCCUCGUCUCGUCCUCAAGGAAGUCGGAGGUGUCAGCUGUAGCGCUCGCCCGCUGACCGUGAUCACGCGAUGUCUUUGACGUUAAUUUUAUAGUGGCGUCUCUUCAGAGCGUCGGUCGGCUCACGGAGACGUCCGAUAAAAGAAGACGUGUAGUAAAACUUCCCUCCCGGUGCCGGACGGAGGCGGCGGCGAGCCGCUGCGCGCAGUGGAGCACGCCAGCUCUAAUUCGUCUCCGUCUGGAAGCACUGACCUCUUUUGUUCGCUUGAUGGCUUAUUACCGGUAUUGAUUUUGGCUCCUUUUGUAUUUUUCCCUGCGGGGAAGGCAAAUGACCCGCGCACGUAUCGGCCAACGAACGCCACACAUUUAACGGCGCUUUGCAUGACACCAAUUGUUUUAGUGUUCAGUAUCGGUGGGCACUGGGACGCGGUGGCGCUGGAUGGCGUGCGGUGAUGCUCCGGGAUGUAACGGUAACCUGCGUGCAGGAGGACGCUUCUCGAGGACUUGAUUUCGUUCGCUCCACUUGAACCGGUGGACAAAACGUCUUUUUAUAGACUGCGCUCACCUUCUCCUGCAGAGGGAGGGCAGUUCAACAAACGCAAGCGGACGCUAAAUGCAACGCAGGAAGCACGAGGAUGUAGAUUCCUUCUGGUAGUUAAUGCCAACAUCAACUGUUCUUCCAUCGGGGUCAAAAAAUGAUUUUUUUCAAAUACUUUGGUUGAAGGCAAAAUACCUGCAAAAAUAAUUGACAUUCCCACCAGCUUCAUCUGUAUUUAAUGACGGCAGCAGUUAUCCUGCAUUACCUUUUUAUCACUGCCGGUUAGUAAUUGUUGCAGAAAUAGUACAUCAAUACAGCCUCCAUCACCUGUGAAAUGACUCCAUCCAUCACGCUGCAGCCUCAGCGGCUCGCCACAGUCUGCUUUGAUCAAAGUGUAUUUAACAAGUUCUGAGGGGCAUUAUAUACAUUUUAAUAUUUUGUACUACGUCUGAAACCCAAAUAUUUACUUUAGAAGUGAUAUUGAAAAAGAAAAGCAGAAAUUCAGCCAUGUGAGCGGCUUCAUAACAGCAGGUUUUGUACGUCUAAUACUCUGGAACAGCUUGAUAGAAGGCCGGCGUGGAGGGGAAGAGUGAACACGGAUCACUCCAAAGUGAAAUAAGAAAUGUUUAUUCCAUCCUUCUAAAUGACGGCAGUUUGAUAUUUGCUGGGUUUUGGAGUUUUGAUUACAUUCCAUUUGAUUUCCAGCAAUGAUUCCGAUGAAUGGACCCUUGGCACUGUGGUGUUUGGACAUGUUUAUCCAGUAGUUUGACUUGAACUAAUGUUCCCGGUAGCCCGAUGAGCGCGUCCUCUCCUCUUGUUUGGAUCACGAAGCAGCUGCUUGAGCUCCGUGGAUUCCUCUCCCGAUUCCUCUCAACGUCUGGCGACGGGAAGGAUCGGAGGCGUCUGGCCGCCGCUUGUUUUGUGCAUGAAUCCGCUCUUCAAGAGACGCGAUGCUCGCGUAACCAAAAAAAAAGAUUUAACAAACAGACAUCUUAUGCUAAUUAUCUGGACUGAUUUGCAUAACACAUUUGCUAACUUGUUGGAGUUGUUUGGAGCGUUUUCAGACGGAUUAGUGGAGGUUGUAGCCAAGACGCUGAUGUUCCAACUGGUGUAGAGCAGGGAGCACCGUUCCAUCUCGCAGUCAACGAGCCGCUCAUCUGUCCGUCACGACCUUUCCACACGUUCUUGGUCAUCAUCACCCAGGGUUGCUUUUGAAUGGAAUUAAAUGCGUCCGUUAGUAAGCAAGGAUCGCUAAUUAGCAAGUAUUUAGGUAUUUUGUCUAGUUUCCACAUUAAGAAUUACUUAGAAAUAUUGAAUUAUUGUUAAUAACUUGUGCUUUUGCCUUUUUUGUGGAGCUCACAAACAUUCUUUGUAGAAAAUACGAGGACCGAGCCUCACUAGAGGGACGAACCUUUGGAUGGGGUUGCCAUGGAAACGCACCUAAUUUUCUUUUCACCCCGUUUUCCAAAUUGGUCCGAAACAGUCCUGUAAAUAACAUGACCUCAUGUGGUAAAUAUUUGGUUGGGCCUUGUGUGCAUUCGUUAUCGUUUCCUACCACGUUUUAUACAAAUAGAAUCACGAGCAAAAUAUGUUAGCUUCCCCUCGGAUGCGUGCUCACGAUCGGCAACACGGCUCCUACUUUUUUGCUUUUUGUUCAGGGAUCAAGUCAACGGGUCGAAUCUCAGAUACAAACCAAUUCUUUUUACGGGGCUACAAAGCGUCUUUUUAAUACUGUAACUUUUAACGGGUCAGAUUAAAAAACCCAAAGCUUUAUAUAAGAUAGAACUUCUAAUAAAGUCUGACACGCUGUGGUUCCUCAGUCCAGCUUUAGAUCAAUAAUGAGAUAAAGAGAUUCAAUAUGGGGUUUAGUAUUGAAGUAGUACCGGGGUUUAGUCACACGUUUUUAACAUUUCCAGAGGUUUUUAUUAUUAGUUUCUAAAACUACGUCGCUUCGUGCUCCCACACAUUUUCCACUUGUCCUCGUCCGGCCCGAGACCGCAGAGUUCCUGCAGCUGUGUGCAUGGAGGCUCUGAGUAGCUGCUAACUAGGGCCAGACCGGGGAGCCUCUGAAGGCCAGCCAUGGCCCACAGUGAGAGGGG